Molecule: long non-coding RNA, 564 nt
Organism: Hibiscus syriacus
Lineage: Eukaryota; Viridiplantae; Streptophyta; Magnoliopsida; Malvales; Malvaceae
Exons: 2
Source: RefSeq, a predicted model, not a curated record
GUUUAAAGUUCAUUUUAGAUAGCUUCUAAGAGUAAAAUUCGAUGCAUUCUGCUCCUUUUUUAAAUCAAUAUGUGCUUAUUGCUUCUAGUUUUUAUGUUAAUUUCAGUUCAAGCAAGAAGAAAUGAAUGCGAUCACGAAUGACUUUGCUGAACCUGGAUCACUUGCUCCAACUGGAUUAUACCUUGGUGGCACAAAAUACAUGGUGAUCCAAGGUGAACCGGGAGCCGUUAUUCGAGGGAAGAAGCUUAUCGGAAUCUACGAUGAACCAAUGUCUCCCGGCCAGUGCAACAUGGUUGUCGAAAAGCUUGGUGAUUAUCUCCUUGACCAGGGUGUUUGAUCUCUGUUGGUGUUCCUUAUUUGUUCAAUUCUUCUUUAUUUCUAUACAAACCCAUAUCCUCCAUUUCCCGAUUCCAUGGUUGGAUGCAGUUGAAACUCGACGGAAUCUGUUUCCGAAACCAAAUGGUCGGUGUUUGUAAUGGUGAUAAAACAAUGUGUUUUCUACUCAUUUUGGAUUUUGGUUUGGGUGGUUAAAUGAAGUGUUCUAGGUGGUUUAUACCAUAGUUA